ACCCUCUCGAAGGAAGAGAUAUGUAAGCCUGAAAGAUGAGAAGCAGUCAUCAUAAGGAAUGGGGUGAAGAGUGACAGGACAGAGGCACCAUUGCGGAAAACUUCUGUUCUAGAACCCAAAGGAAGCCUGCAUUGGCAAGGCAGGCAGGGGUCAGGUCAGACCCUGGCAAGGAUUUGAAUUUCUUCCAAGGGCAACUGGAGCCCUUGAGAAGCUGAGGAUGUGUUUAUAAGAAGAUAGUGGCUCCUGUGUGGAGAAGAGAUUGAAGGAAUGGAAAUGUCAAAGUAGAAAGACAAUCUAAACUGAGAGCCAGGGAUGAAGGCAGAGGAGGAACUGAAACCAAACCUUCAGAGGAAUUUCUGACCGUUAUAUCAGCUAGCACAGACCCCUGGUUUUGCCACUUCUCAGAGAUUCCACAGUGCGGUACCCGCUCUGGUAGUUGCAUGAUGGAUGUGGCCUGAGAGGCUUCCCUGAGGAGGUGAGCUGACUGAGGGAAGGGACAAAGUUCCCAACAACAAAACAGUAAGCAUCUGACGGAGAACGGUGAAUUCACAGCCGGAAACGACAGCCCAGGAUGCUCAUGGCCUGGUGGAAGGGCCUUGAAAUCCAAGAACCUGCCCCCCGAGUCGGGAGGAUGAAAGAGAUUUCAACCAACAAGCAAACAGGCUCUUCUCCACACGUUUCAUGGGAUCGAACGCCUGCUCAUAGAGGUUUUCUAGAAGCUCCACAUACUUUACCACAAUGUUCCUUGUCAUGGCAGCACGGAAGAGAUGGAAAAAGGCAAGAGGGGAAUAUGCGAUAGCAGAUGUGAAAAUCAGGUGUUUCUAAGUCACUGAUACCUGUAAAGUAAUUGCAUUUGUGAUACCAGAACAGGUACUUCCAAAUAUGCAUAGAGUUCUCGCCUCAGCAGUGUGGAUACUAAAAUUGGAAAGAUAAAGAGAAGGUUGUCAUGGCCUCUGCACAGGAUGACACACAAAUUCAAGAAGCAUCCCACUUUUUUGUUCUUCAUGCACUGAACUGUACGCGUAAAAAUUGUUAAAACAGCAAACUUUAUGUUAUGUAUAUUUUACCGCAGUUAAAAAUAUGCACAGAAAUGGAUCUAGAAACAUACAUACAAACUGUUCACAUUGGCCAAUUCUUGGGAAGAAGGGUGACUUUCAGGGUUUUUUCCCUUCAAUUUUAAACCUUUUUUUGGAAAUUAUUUUAAACAUAGAAAAGUUGCAUGAGUAAAAGUAUUGCCAAUAAUACCUCUAUACUGUUUACCCAGAUUCAACUACUCUUAACACUUUAUCCAUUUGCUUCAUCAUUCCCUCGUUUUCUCUUUCUCUCUCUGCAAUCUAUGGGGAGACACUUAAAGUCCUUACAAAUAUCUUUCUCCUCAUCAAGAUUUCCUUCUGGAUUCAGCAUCCGUGGAUGAUUUCUGUUGAACUGAUCUUUACUAUGAUGGUUGCAAAAUGGGUAUUUUCCAAUGCUAGCACCCCUCCCCAUAUACCAUUUGGCACUGAGUGUUCUGCUUUAAGCAGGAACCCUCUGUAAUCCCCUCAGUUUUUUAUAUAUUUGUCACAGGCAAGGGCUCAUGAAUACCUAUUUUUUUCAAUGAUUUAUAAUUCACUAAUGUAUUUGAUUAUUUUGCUGAUCAAAUUGUCCCAGAUUUGGCUAGUGGAGUCCCUACAAGCUGGCUACUGUGUCCCUGUGAUGUGUGACCCACCUCUGCCCAUCAUGUUGAGCACUUAAUAUCUGGCAUAAAAAGAUUUUCCAGGCUUUUCUUGUACCUAUCUGCCCUGGCCCUGAAGUCAGCCAUUUCUAUGAAGAGCCUUGGUUCUUUUUAAUGGGGAAAGGCAUUAGAAACCAAGAUGUGGGUGUGAGCUAUGCUCAUUGCUUGUGGGGAGUCUUUGCUUCUUGUAUCUUUCAGUUGAGUGAAUAGAAAAUCAACAGAUAUUUAUAUGUAUACAUAUAUACACUUACAUACAAAUAUACCUAGACAUAUAUGUAUAUGCAUAGAUAAAUCAUAAACAUGUGAACAUAUACGUACUUUAGAAAUCACGAAUUCACAGAAAUAAUUUUAAUUUCCAUCCGUUCCCACAGGGAUUUUUUUCUUGCAUUCUCCUCUAUUCCAUAUUUGCACUUUUUUUUUUUUCAGUGAGGACCUUGGAUUCCUCAAACAAUACAUUCACUUAUUUGCUCAAUUGCAUAAUACAUCGAAAAUAGUUUCAGAAUUGCUUCAUCCUUGUCUCUACGCAAAACAAACCCACUGAAAAGAGUUCAGGAUUGGUUUGUAAUUUCCUCCAUGCCCAUCAGUCCGCCACAAACUGAGGGUAGAUAGUCAAAUGCCGAAUAUUAAUACCUUGCUCAGAUUCGUUCUUUCUGUUUCUAUUUCCCUCCUGUGUGGUUAUACUACCCAUUUGAAAUCUAAUUAAGCUGAUUGGUUUCAAUUUGCUCUCAUUUUACUUUCCACACCCCAUUUUUACUAACUUAAUUGAUUUUUGAGUAUAUAGAAGGUUAUCAUAUUUUCCAAAGAAAAGCUGAACAGAAAGGUAUAUUUGUGCCACUCCUUCCCAAAUCUCGCCUACCACAGUCUCCUUAUAGGUCACCAGCUUCAUGGUUUAUCCUUCUUGUGUUUCUUUUUGUACAGGUAAACAGUCACAGAUUUUCUUAUUUUUCCUGCUACUAUAUAUGCUUUUUUAAAAAACAGCUUUAUUGAGCAUAAUUUACGUGGUAUAAAAUUCACCCAUUUUAAGUGGGCAGCUAGACAAGUUUUAGUGAAUUUAUACAUUUGUGCAACCAUCACCACAAUCCUGUUUUAGAACACCACCAUCCUCCCAGGAGCUGCCCUCACGCCCAUUUGCAGACAACCCCCACUCCCAUCUCAGCCCCAAGCCACCACCCAUCUGUGUUCUGUUUCUAUUGUUUUAUUCUUUCUAUAAAUUUCAUAUCAAUGGAGUUACACAGUAUGUGGUCUUAUGUGUCUGGUUUCUUACUAGCCUCAUGCUUUUGAGGUUCAUUUGUGUUGUUGAUGGUGUCCACAGUACUCACCUUUUCGUUGGUGCGUUGUAUGGAUGUACCACAAUUCGUUUCUCGAUUGACCAGAUGAUGGAUGUUGGGAGUGUUUCCAGCUUUUUGUUUAUUGUGAAUAAUGCUGCUAUGAACAUCGGUGUGCAGGUUUUUGACAGACACGUGUUUUCAUUUCUCUUGGGUAGUUACCUUGGAGUGAAAUUGCUGUGUCAUAUGGUAAGUGUAUGUUUAACUUAUGAAACUGGCAAAUGGUUUUCCAAAGUGCCUGUAUCAUUUUACGUUCCCAUCAGCGAUGUAUUUAUAUUAAUUGUAAGCAAAUGUAUUCUCCUAAAGUUGCUGAAAGUUCUUAUCUAAGCUAGGCCAGUUAUUUAUUGUCCUUGUAAUCUUGCUCAUUUUUUACUUACUCAGCCCUUUUCUUCAUGGGUAGUUCAAAGGAAAAUCAGAUUAUUCCUUGCUGAAUUAUAAGGAAUUCAGAAUGAAUGUGACCAAAAAUAAAGACCCAGAAAGGUAUUUUCUCUCUCUUUAUAGGGAAUGGAAAGAUAUAGAUGACGUUAUUAAGAGAAGGACUUUCUAGCUUCAGUCUUUAAAAAUAAAGAUCAGUUGCAUCAGAAACCUGAGUUUACAUUCUUUCCGAUGGUAGGGCAGGGAAUGAGGUUAGUUUAUGGAAGGAAGUACUCCCCCCCCCCAUUUUUUUUCUGGUGAGGAAGAUUGGCCCUGAGCUAAUAUCUGUGCCAAUCUUCCUCUAUGUUGUAUAUGGGACACCACCACAGCAUGGCUUGAUGAGUGGUGUGUAGGUUCACACCCAGGAUCUGAACCUGCAAACCCCAGGCCACUUAACCACUACUCCACUGGACUGGCACCAGGAAGUACCUCUUUUAAUUGAUGGAUACUUGGGAAAUUGACUAAAGUUAGGGUAUGGUCAUUAACUUCAAAUUUUGAGACAUCAGAAAAGAAUUCAGAAAUCUAAAGAUUCUAAAAAGGAGAAAACUUGAUAUAGUUCCCAAGUUGUUAUUUUUAAAUAUUUUGAAAGGAGAGCUGUGAUGGUUGCAAAGAGGCAGUCCUAGAAAUGAGAGCGGCAGCUGUUCAGUUGGGCACUUCCACUGAACGUAGGAUAAAUGCCAGAUCUUCUUGCUACACCCUAAAUACACCUGGACAAAACCACAGCUCCUGGAGAACCAAAGCACACUUCAUGGCAGCCCUCGUCUAGGGUCAUCCACAGACCACACUGGGGAUGCUGCCAGCUUCAAGUUACACCCCAAGAAAAUCAGUAUCAGUUGACAGACUAGCCAGCUCAUUGCUAAAUUAACUUCAGCUAAAUUUUUAAAUAACCAAAGGUUGUCUUUAAAAAAAUCUCUCCACAUCUCUUCUCAAAGGUUUUCUCCCUGCUUCUGAUAUUCAUCUUUUUUGCCCCAUCCCAAGCGCCUGGCACAUAUAUCAUUUUGUUGAGCCUGAAUUUAGCCAAAACAGAUAUUAACCAGUAAAACUCUUGUUCAUAAAAGGUUCAUUUGAAAUUGUUAAACAUGCAUCCCGUGCUCCCUGGAAGUGAGGGACUAUUUGGGCAGUAAAGGGGUUUUCCUGGCACCCAUCGAAAUGCAUCCUAUAGGUGAGGGGUUGCUGUUUCACAGGCCCUACCCUUAUGAGGUACAUUUGUACAUGAACUACUGGUUCCAGUGUUUUUAAUUUUUAAUUUUUUUCUUUUGAGGAAGAUUAGCCCUGUGCUAACAUCUGCUGACAAUCCUCCUCUUUUUUGCUGAGGAAGACUGGCCCUGAGCUACCAUCCAUGCCCAUCUUCCUCUACUUUAUAUGUGGGAUGCCUGCCACAGCAUGGCUUGAUAAGGAGUGCAUAGACCCGCACCUGGGAUCCGAACCAGUGAACCCCGGGCCACCGAAGUGGAAUGUAUGAACCUAACUACUGUGCCACUGGGCUGGCUCCUUAAGUUUUUAAUUUUUAAGAAAGAGGAAAAUCCUCCUUGGGAGCUUAGAUUCUGUUGGGAUAAACUGAGUAAAAAUGUUUUAUAUGCCAGGAAAACAUCUGUCUAUCCAGGGAACUGUAGCUUGACAGAGGUGCGGUUAAGUGCUAAGUAAGAAAGGAGGAAAAAUGAAUACGACAGUACACAGCCAGAAAGACUGGUCGGUAAAUGUAGUUGGCAAAAUGUGCCUAGUUAUUUUGUAGCUCCUAUUUUUAAUUAGCAUUCUGUGUAGUUUUCUUAUUUUCAGAAAUUCCCUCUCUCUAGAACACACGCACAUGCACACACGCACGUAUGAGCAUGGAUUCUUGUUGUUGUUUUCCUUUUCAAAGUUCAUAGCUGCAUCAUUGCACAGAUGGAGGAUAUUGGAGAAAUGCUAUAUGGGAAACAUAAAGAUGUUAGUACUUCUGGUUUGGUUGGGUGGUGGGUUGAUUUCAGGAAGGGUCCCAAGGUGUUCACGUCUAACCCGUGUUCACGCUGGGCUUGGCCAUAUGACUUGUUCUGACCAGUGAGUGAGUAGCCAACACAACGCAGCAGACAGUGGGAAUGCUGUUAAUGCCACUGGGAUGCUGCUAACCCCCAUCUUUUCCUCUUUGUUCUUUCUUUUAUAUAUUUAUACAAAAUCACAGUUUUUACGUUUGUGACAGACAAAUAAAAUUGAUUUGUGUUCAUAACUUAGCAGUUGCCUUACUAUAGACAUUGACCAUUCCGUGGCAUUCUAGUAGUAAGAGAACUUUAUUUUUCUCUUGGAAAUCAGGCAAUGGCAUUCGACUCUCCCCUCCGUCCAGUGGUGAGUUGGUAAAUGGUCAACAACUAGUUCUCUGUAAAACAGCCCUGAUUUGUAGUGUUCUCUGGUUUCCGUGGUGUGAAUACUCCCACGUGGCUGAUUUCAAAUUACCAACAGGACUUCACUCAGUGAGGCGGUGGGAAGAGAGGCGCACACCAUUAUUAUAUUCCCACCAUGCAGGUACAAUAAUGUAAAUAACCGCCAGAGCGUAGGUAAAAAUAAAAGGUAGGAAAAUAAUUAGGAAAUGAUGAGUUUUGAGCAGUUACUCUCAUUGAUUUUAAUACAGCUUAUUGUCCAUUUAUAUUAUUUAAUUUUUAAUAACGUUUGUGUUUAACAACCCGUUUGCAGAAUUCCUGCAAAUUUAAUAAUUGGUUCUUACAAAUUAGUAUGAACAGGUUCCAGCACCUUCUCUGUCUCAUCCUACCACAGCUACACCGAUGUCUACGAAGAGGAUGGCAUGUGGGCUCCUGGAACGUUCUACCAGGGAAGCAGAGCAAAGUGGCGAGGGGGGCUGCGGGAUGGAGGACGCAGGCUCAGCCAGAAUCACGUCGUGUUUUCAUUGAGGGCUUUCUACCACUUUUUGAUGGUCGAUCCCCAGGUUUCUGGGGCAUGCUGAUUGGAUGGUGUAUGGAAACCAGCUUAGAGCAACACUCUUGUUUCCUCUGACUCACUCUUCUCUCUUUCCAACUCCUAUUGGAUACUUCUGCCUAAAAUGAGCCCAAUCUCUAAAUACCAAAUACUCAGCUGUUCUAUUUUGUAAUAUUUCAUUCUUCGAGGCCAGGGUGAGAGAACGCUGGCCCUCGAGUUCUCCCUCGGGUACCUGCUCUGAGCGCAAAGUCCACUCAGAUAAUUUCUUCAUUUAUGCUCUAGUUGUGAAAACGUUUCAUUGUUUAAUGGCAACAUGUUAAAAAGCCAUUGUUUUGCUGUUACUCUUUAAAGCUUAUGCUCCUGGCUCGUCUGAACUUUUCUCUCUUGCUUUACCUGUGUUUCUGUGUUUUUUUCCUAUUUCACUCUCCAUCUGGUCUUCCUUCUUAAUUUUUUCUUUUUCUAUUUUUUGUCUUUUCUCUCUGUGUAUUUAAUUAGUCCACAGUAUAGAACCACUGUAUACAUUUUUAUUAUUUCUUGUUUUUAUAGAAUAGAAUGUUAUAUUCUCUUAAUUUAAAUACCAC
RNAcentral lists this long non-coding RNA (6932 nucleotides) under Equus caballus (horse). The record is from RNAcentral. Lineage: Eukaryota; Metazoa; Chordata; Mammalia; Perissodactyla; Equidae.